This is a long non-coding RNA of Puntigrus tetrazona (Sumatra barb), 257 nucleotides long. RefSeq lists it as uncharacterized. The transcript is spliced from 3 exons. The record is from RefSeq and is a predicted model, not a curated record. NCBI's taxonomy places the organism in Eukaryota, Metazoa, Chordata, Actinopteri, Cypriniformes, Cyprinidae.
GGGCUGGGCAAGUCCUACCAGCCGGGCAGUAUGAUCUCUCUCGCUUUGACCAAAGGUCUUCUUAAUGAGCCAGGCCAGAACAGCUGCUUCCUCAACAGUGCUGUGCAGGUUCUUUGGCAGCUUGACAUCUUCAGGAGGAGCCUACGGCAGCUCUCUGGCCAUUUCUGCUUGGGUGAUGCCUGUAUUUUCUGUGCUUUAAAGAGCAUCUUCUGUCAGUUCCAGCAGAGUCGAGAGCGGGCUCUGCCGUCAGAUACCCU